RNAcentral lists this ribosomal RNA (570 nucleotides) under Colletotrichum karsti. RNAcentral's name for it is "eukaryotic LSU rRNA". The stretch from base 195 to 348 matches the Rfam family "5.8S ribosomal RNA". The record is from RNAcentral. Lineage: Eukaryota; Fungi; Ascomycota; Sordariomycetes; Glomerellales; Glomerellaceae.
GGCCCUAGCGUCAGCACAGGAGCCAGUUGUGACAUACCUACGAGCUGUUGCUUCGGCGGGUAGGCCGUCCCCUGAAAAGGACGCCUCCCGGCCCGGACCGGACCCCCCGCGGGACCGGACCCGGCGCCCGCCGGAGGAUAACCAAACUCUAUUGUAACGACGUUUCUUCUGAGUGGCAUAAGCAAAAUAAUCAAAACUUUUAACAACGGAUCUCUUGGUUCUGGCAUCGAUGAAGAACGCAGCGAAAUGCGAUAAGUAAUGUGAAUUGCAGAAUUCAGUGAAUCAUCGAAUCUUUGAACGCACAUUGCGCCCGCCAGCAUUCUGGCGGGCAUGCCUGUUCGAGCGUCAUUUCAACCCUCAAGCUCUGCUUGGUGUUGGGGCUCUACGGUCGACGUAGGCCCUCAAAGGUAGUGGCGGACCCUCCCGGAGCCUCCUUUGCGUAGUAACAUUUCGUCUCGCACUGGGAUCCGGAGGGACUCUUGCCGUAAAACCCCCCAAUUUUCCAAAGGUUGACCUCGGAUCAGGUAGGAAUACCCGCUGAACUUAAGCAUAUCAAUAAGCGGAGGAUUU